AUGAAAAAUAUUGCACAUUUAUUACAAAAAUGUUGCAUAACCUGCCAUUUAUCAUGUGCCUGGUACAUACGACAUGAUACAGUUGAAAUCAAUGGGUCACUACUCCCCUGCCAAUCGAACAUUUUACUUGACUUUGGCAAACUCUUUCUUAUAAACACGGCGCAGCACAUUUGCUUUAACCAUUUUCAUUACGUAUCAAACAAAGGUCCACGCAUGAUAUGCAUAUCAAAAGUAAGAGACAAGAGUUACCUUUUAAAACAUUUGGGAAAUCAACAUGGCAAUUCUGCCAGUGUAAUCAUACUGUGUUACAUGCUACAAAAAUAUUGUGCAGGUAUGAAGAUACUGCACCUAACAUAUUUUCUGUUUGGGGAGAAUCUGCACCUAACGUCAAACACGACUGCGAAAAGAGAUAAUGAAAAUACUGCACCUAACAGUACUAAAAAGAAAACAGAGCAAGCCUACUUAUAG
This 468-nucleotide ribosomal RNA is filed under the name Triticum aestivum (bread wheat). RNAcentral describes it as "partial small subunit ribosomal RNA". Lineage: Eukaryota; Viridiplantae; Streptophyta; Magnoliopsida; Poales; Poaceae. The record is from RNAcentral.